Molecule: ribosomal RNA, 934 nt
Filed under: uncultured bacterium
Lineage: Bacteria
Description: bacterial SSU rRNA
Rfam family: Bacterial small subunit ribosomal RNA
Source: RNAcentral
AGAGUUUGAUCAUGGCUCAGAACGAACGCUGGCGGCGUGCCUAACACAUGCAAGUCGUACGAGAAAAUCCGCUUCGGCGGGUGAGUAAAGUGGCGCACGGGUGAGUAACGCGUGGAUAAUCUGCCUUUAAGCGGGGAAUAACUUACCGAAAGGUGGGCUAAUACCCCAUAAAGCUAUGGAGCUCCGGUUUUCAUAGCCAAAGAGAGCCUCUGCAUGCAAGCCCUCACCUAGAGAUGAGUCCGCGUACCAUUAGCUAGUUGGUGGGGUAAUGGCCUACCAAGGCGACGAUGGUUAGCUGGUCUGAGAGGAUGAUCAGCCACACUGGAACUGAGACACGGUCCAGACUCCUACGGGAGGCAGCAGUGAGGAAUAUUGCGCAAUGGGGGCAACCCUGACGCAGCAACGCCGCGUGAGUGAGGAAGGUUUUCGGAUCGUAAAGCUCUGUCGGGUGGGAAGAAAUGUAUGGAGGUUAACAGCCUUUGUACUUGACGGUACCGCCAAAGGAAGCACCGGCUAACUCCGUGCCAGCAGCCGCGGUAAUACGGGGGGUGCUAGCGUUGUUCGGAAUCAUUGGGCGUAAAGAGCGUGUAGGCGGCUAGGCAAGUCAGAUGUGAAAUCCCUGGGCUUAACCCAGGACGUGCAUUUGAAACUGCUUGGCUUGAGUAGGGAAGAGGGAAGUGGAAUUCCUGGUGUAGAGGUGAAAUUCGUAGAUAUCAGGAGGAACACCGGUGGCGAAGGCGACUUCCUGGUCCUAUACUGACGCUGAGACGCGAGAGCGUGGGGAGCAAACAGGAUUAGAUGCCCUGGUAGUCCACGCCGUAAACGAUGUUCACUAGGUGUUGAGGGUAUUGACCCCUUCAGUGCCGAAGCUAACGCAUUAAGUGAACCGCCUGGGGAGUACGGUCGCAAGAUUAAAACUCAAAUGAAUUGACGG